RNAcentral lists this unclassified non-coding RNA (145 nucleotides) under uncultured fungus. Its description in RNAcentral is "sequence contains ITS1, 5.8S rRNA gene". Lineage: Eukaryota; Fungi. RNAcentral also lists the same sequence under 1 other name. The record is from RNAcentral.
UAAUAAGUGUUUUAUGGCACUUUUUAAAUCCAUAUCCACCUUGUGUGCAAUGUCAGUCGAUCUUCUUCAUGGAGAUCGACCAAACAUCAACCUUUAUUUUUUAACUCUUUGUCUGAAAAAUAUUAUGAAUAAACAAUUCAAAAUA